RNAcentral lists this ribosomal RNA (468 nucleotides) under uncultured bacterium. RNAcentral's name for it is "partial 16S ribosomal RNA". It matches the Rfam family "Bacterial small subunit ribosomal RNA", at positions 28 to 507 of the family's 1533-position model. The record is from RNAcentral.
GACGAACGCUGGCGGCGUGCUUAACACAUGCAAGUCGAACGGAAAGGCCCUGCUUUUGUGGGGUGCUCGAGUGGCGAACGGGUGAGUAACACGUGAGUAACCUGCCCUUGACUUUGGGAUAACUUCAGGAAACUGGGGCUAAUACCGGAUAGGAGCUCCUGCUGCAUGGUGGGGGUUGGAAAGUUUCGGCGGUUGGGGAUGGACUCGCGGCUUAUCAGCUUGUUGGUGGGGUAGUGGCUUACCAAGGCUUUGACGGGUAGCCGGCCUGAGAGGGUGACCGGCCACAUUGGGACUGAGGUACGGCCCAGACUCCUACGGGAGGCAGCAGUGGGGAAUAUUGCACAAUGGGCGGAAGCCUGAUGCAGCAACGCUGCGUGCGGGAUGACGGCCUUCGGGUUGUAAACCGCUUUCGCCUGUGACGAAGCGUGAGUGACGGUAAUGGGUAAAGAAGCACCGGCUAACUACGUG